AAUGUUUUCAUGUUGCAUUUGUUGCAAACAAAAUCAUCAUCACUCUCAUGUAUCUCAUUAGCAUGUCCUUGAUUUUGAAUAAUUUCUUUGCCACAGGUGUGGCACAAUAAUAAGCCAUCUCUUAAGUGUGAUUUCCAGUGACGUUUGAGACUUUGUCGUUUUGUGAAUGUUUUCUGGCAGAUACCGCACUCCAAGCUCUCAUUUCUCUUGUGUGCUGAUAUUUUAUGUUGUGUUAACUUGUGUGAUUCUGAAAAUCUUGUGUUGCAAACGUCACAUUGGUAAGGUUUUUCUCCAGUGUGUGUUCUUUUAUGCCUAGUUAGGUCGCUUGAGCGCGAAAUUCUUUUCUGGCAAACAUCACAUUCAUAAGGUUUUUCUCCAGUGUGUGUUCUCUUAUAAACCGCUAGGUGACUUGAUUGUGAAAAUCUUUUCUUGCAAACAUCACAUUCAUAAGGUUUCUCUACAGUGUGUGGUCUCUUAUGAACCGAUAGGUGGCUCGACCGUGAAAAUCUUUUGUUGCAAACAUCACAUUCAUAAGGUUUCUCUCCAGUAUGUGUUCUCUUAUGUUUAGUUAGGGUGCCUGGGUGAGAAAAUCUUUUGCUGCAAACAUCACAUUCAUAAGGUUUCUCGCCAGUGUGUGUUCUCUUAUGAACCGUUAAAUAACUUGAGUGUGAAAAUCGUUUGUUGCAAACAUCACAUUCAUAAGGUUUGUCUCCAGUGUGUGUUCUCUUAUGAACCGCCAAGUGGCCGGACCGUGAAAAUCUUUUGUUGCAAACAUCACAUUCAUAAGGUUUGUCUCCAGUGUGUGUUCUCUUAUGAAUCGCUAACUGACUUGAGUGUGAAAAUUGUUUGUUGCAAACAUCACAUUCAUAAGAUUUGUCUCCAAUGUGUGUUCUUUUAUGUUUAGUUAGGGUGCUUGGGUCAGAAAAUCUUUUGUUGCAAACAUCACAUUUAUAAGGUUUCUUUCCAGUGUGUGUUCUUUCAUGUAAAGCCAAGGUGUCUGAUCGGGAAAAUCUUUUGUUGCAAACAUCACAUUCAUAAGGUUUGUCUCCAGUGUGUGUUCUCUUAUGACCCGCUAAGUUACUUGAUUGUGAAAAUCUUUUGUUGCAAACAUCACAUUCAUAAGGUUUGUCUCCAGUGUGUGUUCUCUUAUGACCCGCUAAGUUACUUGAGUGUGAAAAUCUUUUGUUACAAACAUCACAUUCAAAAGGUUUGUCCCCAGUGUGUGUUCUCUUAUGAACGGUUAAAUUGCUUAACUUAGAAAAUCUUUUAUUGCAAACGUCACAUUCAUAAGGUUUGUCUUCACUGUGUGUUCUUUUAUGUCUCACCAAAUUUCCCUUCUUUGAAAAUACCUUGUUUGUAACCUCACAUUUCCUGGACAUGGUUUCAGCUUUUGAUCUUUUCCUCGUACGGUCAAAUAUUGAUAAAAAUAUCACCCAACCGUUCUCCCGAGUCUUUCUUUAUUGAAUCUUUAUAAUACUUCGCUUCUUGCACAAUUUCUGAUCAUAAAAAUGAGAAUAUUCAGAGAUACAGUUCGCAAACAACAUGAGUAUCAAAAUAUGGC
Molecule: long non-coding RNA, 1561 nt
Filed under: Paramuricea clavata
Lineage: Eukaryota; Metazoa; Cnidaria; Anthozoa; Malacalcyonacea; Plexauridae
Source: RNAcentral